This 500-nucleotide ribosomal RNA is filed under the name uncultured bacterium. Its description in RNAcentral is "partial 16S ribosomal RNA". It matches the Rfam family "Bacterial small subunit ribosomal RNA", at positions 30 to 523 of the family's 1533-position model. The record is from RNAcentral.
AUUGAACGCUGGCGGAAUGCUUUACACAUGCAAGUCGAACGGCAGCACGGACUUCGGUCUGGUGGCGAGUGGCGAACGGGUGGGUAAUGUAUCGGAACGUAUCCAAUAAUGGGGGAUAACUAAUCGAAAGGUUGGCUAAUACCGCAUACGCCCUACGGGGGAAAGCUAGGGACCUUCGGGCCUGGCGUUAAUGGAGCGGCCGAUAUCUGAUUAGCUAGUUGGUGGGGUAAAGGCCCACCAAGGCGACGAUCAGUAGCUGGUCUGAGAGGACGACACGCCACACUGGAACUGAGACACGGUCCAGACUCCUACGGGAGGCAGCAGUGGGGAAUUUUGGACAAUGGGCGCAAGCCUGAUCCAGCCAUUCCGCGUGAGUGAAGAAGGCCUUCGGGUUGUAAAGCUCUUUCGCAAGGGAAGAAAACUUAGCCUCUAACAUAGGCUGAGGUUGACGGUACCUAGAUAAGAAGCACCGGCUAACUACGUGCCAGCCGCCGCAGUAA